This is a regulatory RNA element of Shimwellia blattae, 101 nucleotides long. It matches the Rfam family "Gammaprotebacteria rimP leader". The record is from Rfam. NCBI's taxonomy places the organism in Bacteria, Pseudomonadati, Pseudomonadota, Gammaproteobacteria, Enterobacterales, Enterobacteriaceae.
GCCGCGUAUUGCGGCAUAUAGGUUCAGUUAUAUAAAACCUCGAUCUUUCGGGGUUUUUUGUUAUCUGGCAGUAGUAUAACUGGGCUUUACGCCCUUUUUUU